RNAcentral lists this ribosomal RNA (117 nucleotides) under Bacteroidales bacterium. RNAcentral's name for it is "partial 16S ribosomal RNA". It matches the Rfam family "Bacterial small subunit ribosomal RNA", at positions 1 to 106 of the family's 1533-position model. The record is from RNAcentral. Lineage: Bacteria; Pseudomonadati; Bacteroidota; Bacteroidia; Bacteroidales.
UUAUACCAAGAAGAGUUUGAUCCUGGCUCAGGAUGAACGCUAGCGGCAGGCUUAACACAUGCAAGUCGAGGGGCAUCGCGGUUCCGGCAACGGGACCGGCGGCGACCGGCAUACGGG